CCUACGGGGGGCAGCAGUGGGGAAUAUUGCACAAUGGGGGAAACCCUGAUGCAGCCAUGCCGCGUGUGUGAAGAAGGCCUUCGGGUUGUAAAGCACUUUCAGCGAGGAGGAAAGGUCAGUAGCUAAUAUCUGCUGGCUGUGACGUUACUCGCAGAAGAAGCACCGGCUAACUCCGUGCCAGCAGCCGCGGUAAUACGGAGGGUGCAAGCGUUAAUCGGAAUUACUGGGCGUAAAGCGCACGCAGGCGGUUGGGUAAGUUAGAUGUGAAAGCCCCGGGCUC
Molecule: ribosomal RNA, 280 nt
Filed under: uncultured bacterium
Lineage: Bacteria
Description: partial 16S ribosomal RNA
Rfam family: Bacterial small subunit ribosomal RNA
Source: RNAcentral